GCUGGUUUAGCUCAGCUGGUAGAGCAACUGAUUUGUAAUCAGUAGGUCGGGGGUUCGAUCCCCUCAACCAGCGCCA
This 76-nucleotide transfer RNA is filed under the name Alphaproteobacteria bacterium. RNAcentral describes it as "tRNA-Thr". It matches the Rfam family "tRNA". Rfam says of the family: Transfer RNA (tRNA) molecules are approximately 80 nucleotides in length. Lineage: Bacteria; Pseudomonadati; Pseudomonadota; Alphaproteobacteria. The record is from RNAcentral.